AUACGUAGGGGGCAAGCGUUAUCCGGAUUUACUGGGUGUAAAGGGAGCGUAGACGGUGUGACAAGUCUGAUGUGAAAACCCGGGGAUCACCUCCGGGAUUGCAUUGGAAACUGCCAUACUUGAGUGCAGGAGAGGUAAGCGGAAUUCCUAGUGUAGCGGUGAAAUGCGUAGAUAUUAGGAGGAACACCGGCGGCGAAGGCGGCUUACUGGACUGUAACUGACGUUGAGGCUCGAAAGCGUGGGGAGCAAACAGGAUUAGAUACCCUGGUAGUCCACGCGGUAAACGAUGAAUACUAGGUGUUGGGGGUCUAUAGACCCUCGGUGCCGCAGCAAACGCAAUAAGUAUUCCACCUGGGGAGUACGUUCGCAAGAAUGAAACUCAAAGGAAUUGACGGGG
RNAcentral lists this ribosomal RNA (397 nucleotides) under uncultured bacterium. Its description in RNAcentral is "partial 16S ribosomal RNA". It matches the Rfam family "Bacterial small subunit ribosomal RNA", at positions 523 to 918 of the family's 1533-position model. The record is from RNAcentral.